CCUCUUUCUAGAAUUAUAACUAGAAGAUCCAGACAAGUACUGCAGAUGUCUUCAUAUGUCUUCAGAUUUGUUUGAGGAUCUUGUAAAGAAAUUGAAGCCAUUAAUUAAAAGACAGGAUACUCAUCUUCGACAAAGUAUCUCCCCUGCAGAAAGACUUGCUGUAACAUUACGUCAUUUGGCAACAGGCGGAAGUAAAAAAUCACUAUCUUAUACUUUCCGUCUUGGGACAAAGCACUAUAUCUGG
Harpegnathos saltator (Jerdon's jumping ant) is the source of this 244-nucleotide long non-coding RNA. RefSeq lists it as uncharacterized. The record is from RefSeq and is a predicted model, not a curated record. NCBI's taxonomy places the organism in Eukaryota, Metazoa, Arthropoda, Insecta, Hymenoptera, Formicidae. The transcript is spliced from 3 exons.